AAUGAAACUACACAGAACAGACAACCCUCAUCUGAACCAUCUAACCGCAUUACACUGUAUGUGACUCUGGCAGCUGCUCUGUUCCUGUUUUUGGUGACUUUGUCCAUUCUGUGCUGGAGAAAGAGAGGCAACAAACCAAAAGAGUUGAUCGAGUGCACUCAAAUACCAGAGAGAAACCAUGUGUAUGAGGAGCUGGCAACAGGUCCCCUCCAGUCU
This is a long non-coding RNA of Periophthalmus magnuspinnatus, 216 nucleotides long. RefSeq lists it as uncharacterized. Lineage: Eukaryota; Metazoa; Chordata; Actinopteri; Gobiiformes; Gobiidae. The record is from RefSeq and is a predicted model, not a curated record. The transcript has 4 exons.